AGAACGAACGUUAGCGGCGUGCUUAACACAUGCAAGUCGAACGGUGAAGCCUUCGGGUGGAUCAGUGGCGAACGGGUGAGUAACACGUGAGCAAUCUGCCCUUGACUCUGGGAUAACUUCGGGAAACCGGAGCUAAUACCGGAUAUGACGCCUGGCCGCAUGGUCUGGGUGUGGAAAGAUUUAUCGGUCAAGGAUGAGCUCGCGGCCUAUCAGCUUGUUGGUGGGGUAACGGCCUACCAAGGCGACGACGGGUA
RNAcentral lists this ribosomal RNA (254 nucleotides) under uncultured bacterium. Its description in RNAcentral is "partial small subunit ribosomal RNA". It matches the Rfam family "Bacterial small subunit ribosomal RNA", at positions 26 to 285 of the family's 1533-position model. The record is from RNAcentral.